CUCCGGUUGAUCCUGCCGGACCCGACUGCUAUCAGAGUGGGACUAAGCCAUGCGAGUCAACAUAGCAAUAUGUGGCAUACGGCUCAGUAACACGUAGUCAACAUGCCCAGGGGACGUGGAUAACCUCGGGAAACUGAGGAUAAACCGCGAUAGGUCAUCACUUCUGGAAUGGGUAAUGACUUAAAUCUAUAUGGCCCCUGGAUUGGACUGCGGCCGAUCAGGCUGUUGGUGAGGUAAUGGCCCACCAAACCUGUAACCGGUACGGGCUCUGAGAGGAGGAGCCCGGAGAUGGGCACUGAGACAAGGGCCCAGGCCCUAUGGGGCGCAGCAGGCGCGAAACCUCUGCAAUAGGCGAAAGCUUGACAGGGUUACUCUGAGUGAUUUCCGUUAAGGAGAUCUUUUGGCACCUCUAAAAAUGGUGCAGAAUAAGGGGUGGGCAAGUCUGGUGUCAGCCGCCGCGGUAAUACCAGCACCCCGAGUGGUCGGGACGUUUAUUGGGCCUAAAGCAUCCGUAGCCGGUUCUACAAGUCUUCCGUUAAAUCCACCUGCUCAACAGAUGGGCUGCGGAAGAUACUAUAGAGCUAGGAGGCGGGAGAGGCAAGCGGUACUCGAUGGGUAGGGGUAAAAUCCGUUGAUCCAUUGAAGACCACCAGUGGCGAAGGCGGCUUGCCAGAACGCGCUCGACGGUGAGGGAUGAAAGCUGGGGGAGCAAACCGGAUUAGAUACCCGGGUAGUCCCAGCUGUAAACGAUGCAGACUCGGUGAUGAGUUGGCUUAUUGCUAACUCAGUGCCGCAGGGAAGCCGUUAAGUUUGCCGCCUGGGGAGUACGGUCGCAAGACUGAAACUUAAAGGAAUUGGCGGGGGAGCA
RNAcentral lists this ribosomal RNA (868 nucleotides) under uncultured archaeon. RNAcentral's name for it is "bacterial SSU rRNA". It matches the Rfam family "Archaeal small subunit ribosomal RNA", at positions 1 to 878 of the family's 1478-position model. The record is from RNAcentral.